UACGAAGGGGGCUAGCGUUGCUCGGAUUCACUGGGCGUAAAGCGCACGUAGGCGGAUCUUUAAGUCAGGGGUGAAAUCCCAAGGCUCAACCUUGGAACUGCCUUUGAUACUGGGGAUCUCGAGUCCGGAAGAGGUGAGUGGAACUGCGAGUGUAGAGGUGAAAUUCGUAGAUAUUCGCAAGAACACCAGUGGCGAAGGCGGCUCACUGGUCCGGUACUGACGCUGAGGUGCGAAAGCGUGGGGAGCAAACAGG
This 253-nucleotide ribosomal RNA is filed under the name uncultured bacterium. RNAcentral describes it as "partial 16S ribosomal RNA". It matches the Rfam family "Bacterial small subunit ribosomal RNA", at positions 524 to 776 of the family's 1533-position model. The record is from RNAcentral.